AACGAACGCUGGCGGCAUGCCUAACACAUGCAAGUCGAACGAGACCUCCCGGCUUAGUGGCGCACGGGUGCGUAACGCGUGGGGACCUGCCCUUAGGUUCGGAAUAACUCCCCGAAAGAGGUGCUAAUACCGGAUAAUGUCUUCGGACCAAAGAUUUAUCGCCUUUGGAUGGGGCCGCGUUGGAUUAGCUAGUUGGUAGGGUAAAAGCCUACCACGGCGACGAUCCAUAGCUGGUCUGAGAGGAGGAUCAGCCACACUGGGACUGAGACACGGCCCCGACGCCAAGGGGAGGCAGCAGUGGGGAAUAUAGGAGCGUGGGCGAGAGGCUGAUCCGGCAAUGGCGCGUGAGUGAUGAAGGCCUUAUGGUUGUAAAGCGCUUGUACCCAGGAUGAUAAUGACAGUACCGGGAGAAUAAGCUCCGGCUAACUCCGUG
RNAcentral lists this ribosomal RNA (433 nucleotides) under uncultured bacterium. RNAcentral's name for it is "partial 16S ribosomal RNA". It matches the Rfam family "Bacterial small subunit ribosomal RNA", at positions 29 to 507 of the family's 1533-position model. The record is from RNAcentral.